This 207-nucleotide ribosomal RNA is filed under the name uncultured bacterium. Its description in RNAcentral is "partial 16S ribosomal RNA". It matches the Rfam family "Bacterial small subunit ribosomal RNA", at positions 568 to 774 of the family's 1533-position model. The record is from RNAcentral.
UCCGUAGGUUGAUAAUUAAGUCAGAGGUGAAAUCCUGCCGCUCAACGGUAGAAUUGCCUUUGAUACUGGUUAUCUUGAGUUAUUAUGAAGUAGUUAGAAUAUGUAGUGUAGCGGUGAAAUGCAUAGAUAUUACAUAGAAUACCAAUUGCGAAGGCAGAUUACUAAUAAUAAACUGACACUGAUGGACGAAAGCGUGGGGAGCGAACA